CCACGGCAAAUCAAUCGAAAGGUUGAGACGCAAAGCCUCCGGUCUAAAGGCGCAUGCCUACGAUAGCGGGGUUGCCA
RNAcentral lists this non-coding RNA (77 nucleotides) under marine eukaryotic metagenome. RNAcentral describes it as "Cyclic di-GMP-I riboswitch". It matches the Rfam family "c-di-GMP-I riboswitch aptamer", at positions 9 to 85 of the family's 87-position model. Rfam says of the family: GEMM was predicted in a large-scale screen for bacterial structured RNA regulatory elements. Genes associated with GEMM are involved in a diverse array of functions, including chemotaxis regulation, signal transduction, secretion and chitin. The record is from RNAcentral.